RNAcentral lists this ribosomal RNA (274 nucleotides) under uncultured bacterium. RNAcentral's name for it is "partial 16S ribosomal RNA". It matches the Rfam family "Bacterial small subunit ribosomal RNA", at positions 523 to 796 of the family's 1533-position model. The record is from RNAcentral.
CUACGGAGGGGGUUAGCGUUGUUCGGAAUUACUGGGCGUAAAGCGCACGUAGGCGGAUUGGAAAGUUGGGGGUGAAAUCCCAGGGCUCAACCCUGGAACUGCCUCCAAAACUAACAGUCUAGAGUUCGAGAGAGGUGAGUGGAAUUCCGAGUGUAGAGGUGAAAUUCGUAGAUAUUUGGAGGAACACCAGUGGCGAAGGCGGCUCACUGGCUCGAUACUGACGCUGAGGUGCGAAAGCGUGGGGAGCAAACAGGAUUAGAAACCCUAGUAGUCC